Molecule: ribosomal RNA, 253 nt
Filed under: uncultured bacterium
Lineage: Bacteria
Also listed under: 1 other name
Description: partial 16S ribosomal RNA
Rfam family: Bacterial small subunit ribosomal RNA
Source: RNAcentral
AACGUAGACCUCAAGCGUUAUCCGGAUUUAUUGGGCGUAAAGCGCGUGUAGGUGGUUUUGUGCGUCUUCUGUUAAAGCCCGGGGCCUAACCCCGGAAGUGCAGGAGAUACGACAGAACUGGAGGGGGUUAGAGGUGCAUAGAACGCACGGUGUAGGGGUGAAAUCCGUUGAUAUCGUGCGGAAUACCAAAGGCGAAGGCAUUGCACUGGGACCUUCCUGACACUGAGCCGCGAAAGCGUGGGGAGCAAAAAGG